This 253-nucleotide ribosomal RNA is filed under the name uncultured bacterium. RNAcentral's name for it is "partial 16S ribosomal RNA". It matches the Rfam family "Bacterial small subunit ribosomal RNA", at positions 524 to 776 of the family's 1533-position model. The record is from RNAcentral.
UACGUAGGGACCAAGCGUUGUUCGGAUUUACUGGGCGUAAAGGGCGCGUAGGCGGCAAUUCAAGUCAUCUGUGAAAUCUCCGGGCUUAACCCGGAACGGUCAGAUGAUACUGCUUUGCUAGAGUGCGGAAGGGGCAAUCGGAAUUCUUGGUGUAGCGGUGAAAUGCGCAGAUAUCAGGAAGAACACCCGUGGCGAAAGCGGCUCUCUGGAACGGUACUGACGCUGAGACGCGAAAGCGUGGGGAGCGAACAGG